UACGUAGGGUGCGAGCGUUGUCCGGAAUUACUGGGCGUAAAGAGCUCGUAGGUGGUUUGUCGCGUUGUUCGUGAAAACCGGGGGCUUAACCCUCGGCGUGCGGGCGAUACGGGCAGACUGGAGUACUGCAGGGGAGACUGGAAUUCCUGGUGUAGCGGUGGAAUGCGCAGAUAUCAGGAGGAACACCGGUGGCGGAGGCGGGUCUCUGGGCAGUAACCGACGCUGAGGAGCGAAAGCGUGGGGAGCGAACAGG
RNAcentral lists this ribosomal RNA (253 nucleotides) under uncultured bacterium. RNAcentral's name for it is "partial 16S ribosomal RNA". It matches the Rfam family "Bacterial small subunit ribosomal RNA", at positions 524 to 776 of the family's 1533-position model. The record is from RNAcentral.